UACGUAGGGUGCAAGCGUUGUCCGGAAUUAUUGGGCGUAAAGCGCACGUAGGCGGUUCGUUAAGUCGGAUGUGAAAGCCCUCGGCUCAACUGAGGAAGUGCACCCGAAACUGGCGAGCUUGAGUACGAAAGAGGAUCGCGGAAUUCCCGGUGUAGAGGUGAAAUUCGUAGAUAUUAGGAAGAACACCAGUGGCGAAGGCGGCUCACUGGCCCGGUACUGACGCUGAGGCGCGAAAGCGUGGGGAGCAAACAGG
This 253-nucleotide ribosomal RNA is filed under the name uncultured bacterium. RNAcentral describes it as "partial 16S ribosomal RNA". It matches the Rfam family "Bacterial small subunit ribosomal RNA", at positions 524 to 776 of the family's 1533-position model. The record is from RNAcentral.